ACUCAAAUGAAUUGACGGGGGCCCGCACAAGCGGUGGAGUAUGUGGUUUAAUUCGACGCAACGCGAAGAACCUUACCGGGGCUUGACAUGCACAGGACAGGCGUAGAGAUACGCCCUCCCUUCGGGGUCUGUGCACAGGUGCUGCAUGGCUGUCGUCAGCUCGUGUCGUGAGAUGUUGGGUUAAGUCCCGCAACGAGCGCAACCCUUGUCCUUAGUUGCCAUCAUUCAGUUGGGCACUCUAAGGAGACUGCCGGUGAUAAACCGGAGGAAGGUGGGGAUGACGUCAAGUCCUCAUGGCCCUUACGUCCCGGGCUACACACGUACUACAAUGGUCGGUACAAAGGGUCGCAAUGUCGCGAGACGGAGCCAAUCCCAAAAAGCCGAUCUCAGUUGGGAUCGUAGUCUGCAACUCGACUACGUGAACGCGGAAUCGCUAGUAAUCGCGGAUCAGCACGCCGCGGUGAAUACGUUCCCGGGCCUUGUACACACCGCCCGU
This 496-nucleotide ribosomal RNA is filed under the name uncultured bacterium. RNAcentral's name for it is "partial 16S ribosomal RNA". It matches the Rfam family "Bacterial small subunit ribosomal RNA", at positions 899 to 1397 of the family's 1533-position model. The record is from RNAcentral.